RNAcentral lists this ribosomal RNA (240 nucleotides) under uncultured bacterium. Its description in RNAcentral is "partial 16S ribosomal RNA". It matches the Rfam family "Bacterial small subunit ribosomal RNA", at positions 94 to 334 of the family's 1533-position model. The record is from RNAcentral.
AGCGGCGGACGGGUGAGUAACGCGUGGGUAACCUGCCUCAUACAGGGGGAUAACAGUCAGAAAUGACUGCUAAUACCGCAUAAGACCACGGUACCGCAUGGUACAGUGGUAAAAACUCCGGUGGUAUGAGAUGGACCCGCGUCUGACUAGGUAGUUGGUGGGGUAACGGCCUACCAAGCCGACGAUCAGUAGCCGACCUGAGAGGGUGACCGGCCACAUUGGGACUGAGACACGGCCCAG